UGGGAAAGUAAGGAAAAGACUGUUUUCUCAAGUUACACUGUCUCCACAGACCUGCCUGAAAUCAUUUCAGAGGACUCCUUGUCCUGGCAAAUAGGUGGUGAUGGUAGCUGUAGGAUCUCUCGGGAUGAUGCUCUGCCAGAGAAAUCAGAGCAGAAAGCCAGUGUGCUGGAGACAUAUUUUUUUUACUUGCAUCAAUUGAACAAGAUCAGGGGUUGUAGUUCAGAAGAAGGAAGUUUAUCUUUCUCCAGCCACGUCACUGGGCUUUUGGAAAACAAUGCCGGCAAAGGGGAUCCAGAGAAGAAAGACAUAGGUGAAGAAAUCAGACCCAAUGAUGAGAGCGGUGUAUUUCAAGCUAUUGCUUGCAGAGACAUUGAUCAACCAGGAUGGAAGAAUGCACAGCAUGAUUCUGUUGAAGAAGAAACUCCUGAAAAACACCUCUUUCCAAAGUCUUUGAGCAAUCUUAUUAAGGAGUCAAAGCUUCGCCCAGAAGAGAGGCCAUUUGCUUCCUCCAUAAAAAUUACCUCCAAAGCAACUGGUUAUAAGAACUACUGUGAGAAAUCCAGUGUGGCAUGGCCUUCUCAUAAACGUGGGGAACAGAAAUUAAGAUCACAAAACAUGUCACGACCAAGUUCAGCCAAGGCAGAAAAGAGAAAAAGCACCGACAGCUCUCACAGCAUUUGUCCAUCUGGUUGUGCAGUUAUUGAGGAAAUAAAUGUAUACCCUGCCCAAACAUCAAUGAGUCCUCUGCUUACCAAAGACCAGCAGCAGCCAAUGCGAUAUCAAAACUCAACAGGACUUUGUGGCAAAGUUUGCACAGGGUCUACACCCAAAUACCUUUGCAAGAAUGAUUUGGAGAGAGAAAUGGCAAAUAAGAAGAAUAAAGGAGACUCAGCACUCUCUUUGUGGCAGCUUCUGCCAGAUGAAAUAUGGAUCUGCAUCUUUUCCCUUCUGUCUCAUAAGGAACUCUCCUGUAUUGCACAAGUUUGCCAUCAUUUCUGCCGGCUUGCGAGUGAUAACAGCUUUUGGAAGCGAAUCUACAUUUCAGACUGCCAUUCCUUGAAUGACACCUGGCUGGUCACCUUGGGGCGCCAUCAUCCCCAGUCCCUCACUUUGCAUCGCUGCC
RNAcentral lists this long non-coding RNA (1123 nucleotides) under Vombatus ursinus (common wombat). Its description in RNAcentral is "lncRNA (ENSVURG00010019974.1)". The record is from RNAcentral. Lineage: Eukaryota; Metazoa; Chordata; Mammalia; Diprotodontia; Vombatidae.